GGAAAUUCCAAUGUGAUUCAUAACUUUAGACUUAUGCAUGGUUUGUAAAAUAGGCUACUCUUGUCACCAGCAGUUUAGAGUUUCCUAGUUAGACUUUCAUAGAAAUGGGUCUCAGAAAACAAAGCCAAAUCCCAGAAGGGACAGCUGGGUUUAACAGGUGAAGAGAUCACAUCUAAUGGUUUUCCUCCCAAAGCCCCAUUACUGUUGAUUUUCUUUCUUAUUUCUUACCAAAUAUAAACUAACAAUGUCUAUUUCUAUUUUUUUAAGAUACCUCAUUUGAGAAUUUAUUUCUGAUCUAAGAGAAAACAAAUACUGUGCCCAAAAUACAAAGUCCCUAUUUACACAUACAAAUGCAAUAAUUUAAUUUUUUGCAGCUUAAGGUAAAUUCUAUA
This 392-nucleotide long non-coding RNA is filed under the name Bos taurus (domestic cattle). RNAcentral's name for it is "long non-coding RNA NONBTAT000227". The record is from RNAcentral. Lineage: Eukaryota; Metazoa; Chordata; Mammalia; Artiodactyla; Bovidae.